Molecule: transfer RNA, 69 nt
Filed under: Loxodonta africana (African savanna elephant)
Lineage: Eukaryota; Metazoa; Chordata; Mammalia; Proboscidea; Elephantidae
Rfam family: tRNA
About the family: Transfer RNA (tRNA) molecules are approximately 80 nucleotides in length. Their secondary structure includes four short double-helical elements and three loops (D, anti-codon, and T loops). Further hydrogen bonds mediate the characteristic L-shaped molecular structure. tRNAs have two regions of fundamental functional importance: the anti-codon, which is responsible for specific mRNA codon recognition, and the 3' end, to which the tRNAs corresponding amino acid is attached (by aminoacyl-tRNA synthetases). tRNAs cope with the degeneracy of the genetic code in two manners: having more than one tRNA (with a specific anti-codon) for a particular amino acid; and 'wobble' base-pairing, i.e. permitting non-standard base-pairing at the 3rd anti-codon position.
Source: Rfam by way of RNAcentral
GCAGUGGUGGUUCCGGGGUAGAAUUCUCACCUUCCAAGUGGGAAACCCAGGGUCAAUUCCUGGCCAGCA